AGACGUCUACAUUAGAUACCCGCGUAGUCCCAGCCGUAAACUAUGCGCGUUAGGUGUAUCGGUGACCACGAGUUACCGAGGUGCCGAAGGGAAACCGUGAAACGUGCCGCCUGGGAAGUACGGUCGCAAGGCUGAAACUUAAAGGAAUUGGCGGGGAGCACCACAACAGGUGGAGCCUGCGGUUUAAUUGGACUCAACGCCGGGAAGCUCACCGGAUAGGACAGCAGAAUGAUUGCCGGGCUGAAGACCCUGCAUGACUAGUUG
Molecule: ribosomal RNA, 264 nt
Filed under: uncultured archaeon
Lineage: Archaea
Description: partial 16S ribosomal RNA
Rfam family: Archaeal small subunit ribosomal RNA
Source: RNAcentral